RNAcentral lists this ribosomal RNA (544 nucleotides) under uncultured Glomeromycotina. Its description in RNAcentral is "SSU rRNA". It matches the Rfam family "Eukaryotic small subunit ribosomal RNA", at positions 548 to 1098 of the family's 1831-position model. Lineage: Eukaryota; Fungi; Glomeromycota. The record is from RNAcentral.
UUGGAGGGCAAGUCUGGUGCCAGCAGCCGCGGUAAUUCCAGCUCCAAUAGCGUAUAUUAAAGUUGUUGCAGUUAAAAAGCUCGUAGUUGAAUUUCGGGGUUCUACCGUUGGUCGGGCUUUGUCUGUACUGGUGUGUAGAAUUUCUACCUUCUGGGGAACCAUCAUGCUAUUAAUUUAGCGUGGUGGGAAACCAGGACCUUUACCUUGAAAAAAUUAGUGUGUUCAAAGCAGGCUUAUGUCUGAAUACAUUAGCGUGGAAUAAUAGAAUAGGACGGUGGUCCUGUUUUGUUGGUUUCUGAAUCACCGUAAUGAUUAAUAGGGAUAGUUGGGGGCAUUAGUAUUCAAUUGCCAGAGGUGAAAUUCUUGGAUUUAUUGAGGACUAACUUCUGCGAAAGCAUUUGCCGAGGAUGUUUUCAUUAAUCAAGAACGAAAGUUAGGGGAUCGAAGACGAUCAGAUACCGUCGUAGUCUUAACCAUAAACUAUGCCGACUAGGGAUCGGACGAUGUUAAUUUUUCUUGACUCGUUCGGCGCCUUACGGGAAAC